GACGAACGCUGGCGGCGUGCCUAAUACAUGCAAGUUGAGCGCUGAAGGUUGGUACUUGUACCGACUGGAUGAGCAGCGCACGGGUGAGUAACGCGUGGGGAAUCUGCCUUUGAGCGGGGGACAACAUUUGGAAACGAAUGCUAAUACCGCAUAAAAACUUUAAACACAAGUUUUAAGUUUGAAAGAUGCAAUUGCAUCACUCAAAGAUGAUCCCGCGUUGUAUUAGCUAGGUGGUGAGGUAAAGGCUCACCAAGGCGAUGAUACAUAGGCGACCUGAGAGGGUGAUCGGCCACCUUGGGAAUGAGACACGGCCCAAACCCCUAAGGGAGGCAGCAGUAGGGAAUCUUCGGCAAUGGACGAAAGUCUGACCGAGCAACGCCGCGUGAGUGAAGAAGGUUUUCGGAUCGUAAAACUCUGUUGGUAGGGAAGAACGUUGGUGAGAGUGGAAAGCUCAUCAAGUGACGGUAACUACCCAGAAAGGGACGGCUAACUACGUG
RNAcentral lists this ribosomal RNA (497 nucleotides) under uncultured bacterium. RNAcentral's name for it is "partial 16S ribosomal RNA". It matches the Rfam family "Bacterial small subunit ribosomal RNA", at positions 28 to 507 of the family's 1533-position model. The record is from RNAcentral.